AAAAACAUGUUUAUCUGUAACUUUUAUUAUUCAUUAUUAUAUUCAGGAUUUCCCGAUUCCAAAGGAAAGUGUUUUCAGGCAGCAGACCCAUGAUCCCUUUCCUGAUUUCAAAAGUGAGGUGUGCAGAGGCAAAAGAAGUGCUUCGCAUUUUAGGUGGCAGAUCUGGCCAGGAGGAAAAAGGAGUCAACUAUAUGAACUUCCUUGGAACUCCUAGUAGAAAAACAAAAUCAAUGUUCUUUCGCCAUUACAUUUCCUAUAUUCCUUUUGAGAACUAUAGCAAACAAGGAUAUAUAUUUUAUUCUGGCUGUGCACCGCCCUGAGUCCUUCGGGAGAAGGGCGGUAUACAAAUUAAAAUAUUAUUAUUAUUA
Molecule: long non-coding RNA, 368 nt
Organism: Ahaetulla prasina
Lineage: Eukaryota; Metazoa; Chordata; Lepidosauria; Squamata; Colubridae
Exons: 2
Source: RefSeq, a predicted model, not a curated record